CAGUCGCCGCGGUAAUACGUAGGGUGCAAGCGUUAAUCGGAAUUACUGGGCGUAAAGCGUGCGCAGGCGGUUCGUUAAGACAGAUGUGAAAUCCCCGGGCUUAACCUGGGAACUGCAUUUGUGACUGGCGGGCUAGAGUAUGGCAGAGGGGGGUAGAAUUCCACGUGUAGCAGUGAAAUGCGUAGGGAUGUGGAGGAAUACCGAUGGCGAAGGCAGCCCCCUGGGCCAAUACUGACGCUCAUGCACGAAAGCGUGGGGAGCAAACAGGAUUAGAUACCCGUGUAGUCCCUGUCUCUUAUAC
This 301-nucleotide ribosomal RNA is filed under the name uncultured bacterium. Its description in RNAcentral is "partial 16S ribosomal RNA". It matches the Rfam family "Bacterial small subunit ribosomal RNA", at positions 509 to 807 of the family's 1533-position model. The record is from RNAcentral.